CAAGCUAUGCCAAGUUUUGCUUAAGUCCACAUGUUUCUCUUAAAGAAGAAAGGCAUGGGGUUGGGUGUUAAGAGCUUGAGUGGCAUGGACUAGAGGGGCCAUGAUGAGUAAUAUGGUCAGGAUAUGCAUUGGCUGCAUGGAAUACAAUGAGUAGGUAUGUAUUAGGGGCUCUACAACAAGCAAUAAGUUGGAAAUAGGUUCAGUUGUUGGAGGUUAUUGCAAUCAAUAAGCAGGCAACUGGCCAAGGUAGCGGAUAGGAAAGUCAACCUAGGCUUUAGUUAGCUAUAGUAAUAAUCUUCGAAGUACUUAGUCAAAGGAAAGAGAGGAUGAAAACCACUUGUGAAGAGGAAGAUAAUAGGCGAGUCUUUUGAAACUUUUGCAUGUGUUUCUUGCAUAGAAUGUCAAGAGUUAUCCCUUGCCUUGAGUUAUUCCCAUGAUGACCUAAAAGGCUUAAUUGCAACAAAGUAACAUUGCCAAAAAUGUUGAAUUUGAUAGAUCAAUCCUUUCUAUGUAAAUUGAGCUUCAUGCUGAGGUUGGUUUAAGCAGGGGAUUCAAAUAGGCUAAAUCAGACAUAGUUCAGGGUCAACCCGAUGCAACCUGGUUGCAAAGCUACCUUGAUCCAGCUAAAGUCAUCUGUUUACAUCCCUAGUUGUUGGUUUCACUUAUCUGGCCCAACAUUAGAUUAAUCAUAGAAGUGUGGACCUAGAAAACCUAAAUUUUCAAUGUGUAAACCAUACACAAAUCAGAUAUGACCAAAGGUAUCUAUAUGCUUUAGUUUUUCCGAAAUCACAAUGAUGGCAUUUUUGGACACUAGCCACUAGUGAUGCAGCUAAAGGUCCCCAUAUCUGCCAGUUGUCCAAAACAGGGAUUCGGAUUCCUCUAAUGAGGUCUCAUCUAAGUAACCCAUCUAAUGGAAAACCGUCCAAGCUUAAAAAGAUGAGAUGGUUAUAUCGAAAGAUGCGUUUAAACAAGAUGGAAUGCCAAUUCCUUGAAAUUCAUGUUACAAUCUACUGGUGGAAUAGGAAAUACCGUGGAAGACCACCAGAUUGAGGAGCAUUUCUUCAGAUAAGAAUAUGAGAUGGCAUUUAACUCAGAUGUUUAGUGAGCUUAAAUUUUGAAAUAUUCCAGCUGCAUUAAGAAAAACGGUUGAGCAUAAAUAAGUUUGAUAAGAAUCUUCACCAGCAUCAUCAUAUUUAAUAUUUUUAGAUGGGACUACUUGUAUGAUAUUCUAUGUCAGCUUUUCAAAGAAGCUGCAAUGACCCAAAACGGA
Molecule: long non-coding RNA, 1270 nt
Filed under: Elaeis guineensis (African oil palm)
Lineage: Eukaryota; Viridiplantae; Streptophyta; Magnoliopsida; Arecales; Arecaceae
Description: long non-coding RNA (EGUI_LNC071245)
Source: RNAcentral